This 253-nucleotide ribosomal RNA is filed under the name uncultured bacterium. Its description in RNAcentral is "partial 16S ribosomal RNA". It matches the Rfam family "Bacterial small subunit ribosomal RNA", at positions 524 to 776 of the family's 1533-position model. The record is from RNAcentral.
UACGAAGGGGGCUAGCGUUGCUCGGAAUCACUGGGCGUAAAGGGUGCGUAGGCGGGCCUUUAAGUCAGGGGUGAAAUCCUGGAGCUCAACUCCAGAACUGCCUUUGAUACUGGCGACCUUGAGUCCGGGAGAGGUGAGUGGAACUGCGAGUGUAGAGGUGAAAUUCGUAGAUAUUCGCAAGAACACCAGUGGCGAAGGCGGCUCACUGGCCCGGUACUGACGCUGAGGUGCGAAAGCGUGGGGAGCAAACAGG